CUUGCAAACUGAAGAUGGCGACCGGCGCACGGGUGAGUAACACGUAUCCAACCUACCGAUAACUCCGGAAUAGCCUUUCGAAAGAAAGAUUAAUACCGGAUAGCAUACGAAUAUCGCAUGAUAUUUUUAUUAAAGAAUUUCGGUUAUCGAUGGGAUGCGUUCCAUUAGUUUGUUGGCGGGUAACGGCCCACCAAGACUACGAUGGAUAGGGGUUCUGAGAGGAAGGUCCCCCACAUUGGAACUGAGACACGGUCCAAACUCCUACGGGAGGCAGCAUG
This 278-nucleotide ribosomal RNA is filed under the name uncultured bacterium. RNAcentral describes it as "partial 16S ribosomal RNA". It matches the Rfam family "Bacterial small subunit ribosomal RNA", at positions 74 to 353 of the family's 1533-position model. The record is from RNAcentral.